UACAGAGGUGCCAAGCGUUGUUCGGAUUUAUUGGGCGUAAAGGGUGCGUAGGCGGUGAUGCUAGUCGGGUGUGAAAUACCGGAGCCUAACUCCGGAACGGCAUUCGAAACUGCAUUGCUCGAGGUCUGGAGAGGUGAUUGGAAUUCUCGGUGUAGCAGUGAAAUGCGUAGAUAUCGAGAGGAGCACCAGAGGCGAAGGCGAAUCACUAGACAGAACCUGACGCUGAGGCACGAAAGCUAGGGGAGCAAACGGG
RNAcentral lists this ribosomal RNA (253 nucleotides) under uncultured bacterium. Its description in RNAcentral is "partial 16S ribosomal RNA". It matches the Rfam family "Bacterial small subunit ribosomal RNA", at positions 524 to 776 of the family's 1533-position model. The record is from RNAcentral.